CACAUGCAAGUCGAGGGGCAGCAUGACUGUAGCAAUACAGUUGAUGGCGACCGGCAAACGGGUGCGGAACACGUACAGAACCUUCCUUCGAGCGGGGAAUAGCCCAGAGAAAUUUGGAUUAAUACCCCAUAGUAUAUUGAAGUGGCAUCACUUUAAUAUUAAAGAUUUAUCACUUGAAGAUGGCUGUGCGGCUGAUUAGAUAGUUGGCGGGGUAACGGCCCACCAAGUCUGCGAUCAGUAACUGGUGUGAGAGCACGACCAGUCACACGGGCACUGAGACACGGGCCCGACUCCUACGGGAGGCAGCAGUAAGGAAUAUUGGUCAAUGGACGAAAGUCUGAACCAGCCAUGCCGCGUGGAGGAUGAAGGUCCUCUGGAUUGUAAACUUCUUUUAUAUGGGACGAAAAAAGGCUUUUCUAAGUCGUCUGACGGUACCAUAUGAAUAAGCACCGGCUAACUCCGUGCCAGCAGCCGCGGUAAUACGGAGGGUGCAAGCGUUAUCCGGAUUCACUGGGUUUAAAGGGUGCGUAGGUGGGUUGGUAAGUCAGUGGUGAAAUCUCCGAGCUUAACUUGGAAACUGCCAUUGAUACUAUUAAUCUUGAAUAUUGUGGAGGUUAGCGGAAUAUGUCAUGUAGCGGUGAAAUGCUUAGAUAUGACAUAGAACACCAAUUGCGAAGGCAGCUGGCUACACAUAUAUUGACACUGAGGCACGAAAGCGUGGGGAUCAAACAGGAUUAGAUACCCUGGUAGUCCACGCCCUAAACUAUGGAUACUCGACAUACGCGAUAAACUGUGUGUGUCUGAGCGAAAGCAUUAAGUAUCCCCACCUGGGAAGUACGAUCGCAAGAUUGAACUCAAAGGAAUUUGGCGGGGGGUCCCGCACAAGCGGUGGAGCAUGUGGGUUUUAAUUUCGAAUGAUACGCGAGGAACCCU
RNAcentral lists this ribosomal RNA (933 nucleotides) under uncultured Sphingobacteriaceae bacterium. RNAcentral's name for it is "bacterial SSU rRNA". It matches the Rfam family "Bacterial small subunit ribosomal RNA", at positions 52 to 972 of the family's 1533-position model. The record is from RNAcentral. Lineage: Bacteria; Pseudomonadati; Bacteroidota; Sphingobacteriia; Sphingobacteriales; Sphingobacteriaceae.